RNAcentral lists this ribosomal RNA (445 nucleotides) under uncultured bacterium. Its description in RNAcentral is "bacterial SSU rRNA". It matches the Rfam family "Bacterial small subunit ribosomal RNA", at positions 331 to 792 of the family's 1533-position model. The record is from RNAcentral.
CCAGACUCCUACGGGAGGCAGCAGUGGGGGAUAUUGCACAAUGGGGGAAACCCUGAUGCAGCGACGCCGCGUGGGUGAAGAAGUAUUUCGGUAUGUAAAGCCCUAUCAGCAGGGAAGAAAGAAGACGGUACCUGACUAAGAAGCCCCGGCUAACUACGUGCCAGCAGCCGCGGUAAUACGUAGGGGGCGAGCGUUAUCCGGAUUCACUGGGUGUAAAGGGAGCGUAGACGGCCGUGCAAGCCAGGAGUGAAAGCCCGGGGCCCAACCCCGGGACUGCUCUUGGAACUGUGCGGCUAGAGUGCGGGAGGGGCAGGCGGAAUUCCUGGUGUAGCGGUGAAAUGCGUAGAUAUCAGGAGGAACACCGGCGGCGAAGGCGGCUUACUGGACUGUAACUGACGUUGAGGCUCGAAAGCGUGGGGAGCAAACAGGAUUAGAUACCCGUGUA